Mauremys reevesii (Reeves's turtle) is the source of this 345-nucleotide non-coding RNA. The record is from the annotation of a RefSeq genome assembly. NCBI's taxonomy places the organism in Eukaryota, Metazoa, Chordata, Testudines, Geoemydidae.
AUGGCCCUGAGUGACUUGCCCAAUUCCCAAAGCCCCCAGAAUGCCCGUGUCUCCUGCUGUGAAGCCCAAGUGGUUCAGAGCCCCGAGUCGCUGGUCACUGGGGAAGGGAAGGUCUCCACCAUGUCCUGCUCCUUCACCAGCGCUUUCCAAGCCUUCCAGUGGUACCAGCAGCUGCCUGGGCAAGGGCCGACCCAUCUGCUGACCGUGAGCUCUAAUCAGAAUGUCACUGUGGGGCGGCGGUUCAUAGGCGAGCGCCUGGAAAGUGGGAAACGCAGCUCCCUGCACAUCACUGACCCCCAGCUGGGGGACUCAGGCAGCUACCUGUGUGCGGUGGAUGCACAGUGA